UAGAUAUUAACCACUUGGUGAGACCCACCAGCGUGGAAAUGGUGCUGACAAACCAAGGAAAAUAAUCAUGGUUUCACUGUCCAGUUACAAGAAGCCUGGUGUAAAUAGCUUGUUUGGUCCAGUUGCACCCAACAAAGGGCAACUACCAUGCUGUAAUGAAACUUGAUGGUAUCAGUUUACACCAACGCUAAACUACAUAUACAGCUCCCAAUACAGUGUGCUUUGAGAAGGGGGAGCAACUAUGCCCUGUACGUUUCUGGAAAGAAGAAGUGUUGAGAAGAAGAGUUCUGUGUUGAAGUCAGCAUUGA
Molecule: long non-coding RNA, 308 nt
Organism: Haliotis rufescens (red abalone)
Lineage: Eukaryota; Metazoa; Mollusca; Gastropoda; Lepetellida; Haliotidae
Exons: 3
Source: RefSeq, a predicted model, not a curated record